ACGGAAGGCAGCAGUGGGGAAUAUUGGGCAAUGGGGGAAACCCUGACCCAUCAACGCCGCGUGAAGGAAGAAGGCAUUCGGGAUGUAAACUUCUUUUACCAGGGACGAUAAUGACGGUACCUGGAGAAAAAGCAACGGCUAACUACGUGCCAGCAGCCGCGGUAAUACGUAGGUUGCAAGCGUUGUCCGGAUUUACUGGGUGUAAAGGGCGUGUAGGCGGAGCUGCAAGUCAGAUGUGAAAUCCCGGGGCUCAACCCCGGAACUGCAUUUGAAACUGUAGCCCUUGAGUAUCGGAGAGGCAAGCGGAAUUCCUAGUGUAGCGGUGAAAUGCGUAGAUAUUAGGAGGAACACCAGUGGCGAAGGCGGCUUGCUGGACGACAACUGACGCUGAGGCGCGAAAGCGUGGGGAGCAAACAGGAUUAGAUACCCUGGUA
This 434-nucleotide ribosomal RNA is filed under the name uncultured Oscillospiraceae bacterium. RNAcentral describes it as "bacterial SSU rRNA". It matches the Rfam family "Bacterial small subunit ribosomal RNA", at positions 341 to 792 of the family's 1533-position model. Lineage: Bacteria; Bacillati; Bacillota; Clostridia; Eubacteriales; Oscillospiraceae. The record is from RNAcentral.